CACAGCUCGACGCCACUCAGAUUCA
This 25-nucleotide non-coding RNA is filed under the name Arabidopsis thaliana (thale cress). The record is from RNAcentral. Lineage: Eukaryota; Viridiplantae; Streptophyta; Magnoliopsida; Brassicales; Brassicaceae.